Molecule: RNA transcript, 2789 nt
Organism: Glycine soja
Lineage: Eukaryota; Viridiplantae; Streptophyta; Magnoliopsida; Fabales; Fabaceae
Gene name: vacuolar protein sorting-associated protein 51 homolog
Exons: 21
Source: RefSeq, a predicted model, not a curated record
GGGAGAUGGAAAACGUGCUUCGGUGUACUGGACUAGGAAAAUUAAUUUGGAAAAUUUGAUUUUUUUUUUUUUAGGGCUUAAUGACACCGCGUCAUAGCUGGCGGCAACGUGACGACACAGAGACAGCUGUUUUCCUCAAAUCGGAGGGAGGAGCAAGUUGAGCAGAGGAAAAACAAGCGAAAAGAGAAAGAAAAGGAGAAAAAAUGGUGGGAGAAGAAGUAGUACCAAUGGACGACAAAGCGAAGAGGAUGCGAGAUCUGCUAUCGAGUUUCUACUCCCCUGACCCUUCCAUCUCCAACAACACCUCCAAACACGCUUCUCUCGACGACAUCAAUUCUACUUCCUUCGAUCCCGAUCAGUACAUGAACAUCCUGGCACACAAGUCCAAUUUGGAAGGCCUGCUCCAACGCCACGUUGAAAUGGCAGCUGAAAUCAAGAAUCUCGACACCGACUUGCAAAUGCUGGUUUACGAGAAUUACAACAAGUUCAUCAGUGCCACAGACACUAUAAAGAGGAUGAAAAGUAACAUUUCCGGGAUGGAGACGAAUAUGGAGCAGCUUCUUGAGAAGAUAAUGUCUGUGCAGUCGAGAAGUGACAGUGUCAACACUUCUCUAUUUGACAAAAGGGAGCAUAUUGAGAAACUACAUCGGACUUGUAAUCUUCUUCGUAAAGUUCAGUUCAUAUAUGACCUACCCGAUAGACUAAGCAAGUGCAUCAAGUCGGAGGCCUAUGCAGAUGCAGUCAGGUUUUACAUUGGAGCAAUGCCAAUUUUUAAGGCAUAUGGAGAUUCUUCAUUCCGGGAUUGUAAACAAGCUUCUGAAGAAGCAAUAGCUGUUGUAGUAAAAAACUUGCAGGGGAAGCUAUUUUCAGAUUCUGAAUCAAUACAAGUGAGAGCUGAUGCAGCAGUGCUUCUUAAGCAGUUGGAUUUUCCGGUGAACAAUUUGAAGGCAAAGUUAUUUGAAAAGUUAGAACAAUCUAUUACAGACAUUCGACUGAACCCUGAAGAAAUAAAUAAUCCUUCAGGGGACCGUUCUACUCAUGAGGCAGCUAUACAUGAAUUUGUGGAGGCAGUUUGUGCAUUUCGUGUAAUAUUUCCUGAUUCUGAAGAACAAUUGGUUAAAGUUGCUGAAGAUUUGGUUACCAAGAACUUUGUAAUUGCUGAGGAAUAUGUAAAGACACGGAUUUCCCCAGAAGAUCUACUUGGUGUUCUUCGAGUUAUCUGGAAUGACGUGCUCCUGAUAGAUGAAGUCUUACAGGAAGCAGCUCUCUCUAAUCAUUCUCUUGAGGCUGCAAAGGUUGUUGUCACGUCGUUUGUUAGAAGUGCAUUUUUUCAUCUUCUACAAGACAUCUCAGAUUCCCUCUUACAAAUCCUGAAAAAGGAAGGAGCAGAACAGUGCACUCUUGAUGUUGUUCUUGAUGCAAGUACAAAAGCAGUUCUUCAAGGAGGACUGAAUGUGUUGCUGGACUUUCGCAAAAUUUUAGAUGAUGACUCUGGGAUCCUAGUUAGAUUAAGAGAGUUAAUCAUUGAUUGGGUUCAAGAAGGACUUCAAGAAUUUUUUAGGCAACUUGAGGAUCAGUUCCUUCUGUUUUCAGGAAGAAAUCAUUCAUCUAUUCAAGUACACGGUUUGGCAGAGGGAACUCAAGGUGAUAAAGCUUUUGCUGGCCUUGUCCUAGUGCUGGCACAAUUGUCUGCUUUCAUUGAACAAACCGUCAUCCCAAAAGUCACUGAGGAAAUAGCUGCUUCCUUUUCUGGUGGUAGUGUUAGAGGCUAUGAAUCUGGACCUGCCUUUGUUCCUGGAGAAAUAUGUCGAAAAUUUCGGUCAGCUGGUGAAAAAUUCUUGCACCUGUACAUAAAUAUGAGAAAUCAGAGGGUAUCACUUCUCCUGAAGAAGAGGUUUACAACCCCUAAUUGGGUUAAGCAUAAGGAACCAAGAGAAGUUCAUAUGUUUGUUGAUCUAUUUCUUCAAGAGCUUGAAAUUAUAGUUAACGAAGUGAAGCAGAUUUUGCCUCAAGGUAGACGUAAGCACCACAGGACUGAUAGUAAUGGAAGUAGUGCUUCAUCAAGGAGCAAUCCCUUGCGGGAGGAGAAACUGGGCAGGUCAAAUACUCAAAGGGCAAGGAGCCAGCUUUUGGAAACGCAUCUUGCAAAAUUGUUUAAGCAGAAAGUUGAAAUUUUCACAAAAGUAGAAUAUACACAGAAUCGCAGGAGUCUGUUGUUACAACUAUAGUUAAAUUGGGCCUUAAAAGUUUUCAAGAAUUUGUCCGACUCCAGACUUUUAACCGAAGUGGAUUCCAGCAAAUUCAAUUGGAUAUCCAGUUCGUAAGGAUCCCUUUAAGAGAAAUAGUUGAAGAUGAAGCUGCAAUCGACUUCUUGCUAGAUGAGGUGAUUGUUGCUACUGCUGAACGGUGUCUAGAUCCGAUUCCAUUGGAGCCUCCCAUAUUGGACAAACUUAUACGAGCAAAGUUGGCUAAAACCGAGGAGCAAAAUACAAUUUCUUCAUAAAUAUUCCUUCAUAAACUUAUACGAGCAAAAUUGUGUUUGCUGUGUUUGCCAUCUCGUACAAUUUGUUAGGGUUUUGGCCGUUGAAAAGUAACUUGGUUCCUUUUGUAAAUCUCUUGUAAGUUGUAACAUAUGUCAUAUUAACAUGUUGUUAUUUGUGGAAACAUUGAGACAUGAGAAAAUUAUAUCCAUGACGGGAGGCUAGAGUGGGAGACCUUAUUGGGUCUCUCACCAUGGGAAAGAAUUUUUAGCCCUUAGAUUUUAAAUGAAAUGUUGAGAUUUUUCUUUA